ACGGAAGGCAGCAGUGGGGAAUAUUGCACAAUGGGGGGAACCCUGAUGCAGCGACGCCGCGUGAGUGAAGAAGUAUUUCGGUAUGUAAAGCUCUAUCAGCAGGGAAGAAAAUGACGGUACCUGACUAAGAAGCCCCGGCUAACUACGUGCCAGCAGCCGUGGUAAUACGUAGGGGGCAAGCGUUAUCCGGAUUUACUGGGUGUAAAGGGAGCGUAGACGGCAAGGCAAGUCUGAAGUGAAAUCCCCGGGCUCAACCCGGGAACUGCUUUGGAAACUGUCCUGCUAGAGUGCAGGAGGGGCAGGCGGAAUUCCUAGUGUAGCGGUGAAAUGCGUAGAUAUUAGGAGGAACACCAGUGGCGAAGGCGGCUUACUGGACGAUAACUGACGUUGAGGCUCGAAAGCGUGGGGAGCAAACAGGAUUAGAUACCCUGGUA
This 434-nucleotide ribosomal RNA is filed under the name uncultured Clostridium sp. RNAcentral's name for it is "partial 16S ribosomal RNA". It matches the Rfam family "Bacterial small subunit ribosomal RNA", at positions 341 to 792 of the family's 1533-position model. The record is from RNAcentral. Lineage: Bacteria; Bacillati; Bacillota; Clostridia; Eubacteriales; Clostridiaceae.